Molecule: ribosomal RNA, 498 nt
Filed under: uncultured Glomeromycotina
Lineage: Eukaryota; Fungi; Glomeromycota
Description: partial small subunit ribosomal RNA
Rfam family: Eukaryotic small subunit ribosomal RNA
Source: RNAcentral
CCAAUAGCGUAUAUUAAAGUUGUUGCAGUUAAAAAGCUCGUAGUUGAACUUCAGGCCUGGCUGGACGGUCCGCCUUCCGGGUGAGUACUGUCUGUGGUCGGGUCCUACCUUCUGGCGAAGCGUCAUGGCCUUAACCGGCCGUGGCGGGGAACCAGGACUUUUACUGUGAAAAAAUUAGAGUGUUCAAAGCAGGCAAUUCGCUUGGAUACAUUAGCAUGGAAUAAUGGAAUAGGACAAUUGUUCUAUUUGUUGGUUUCUAGGACUGUUGUAAUGAUUAAUAGGGAUAGUUGGGGGCAUUAGUAUUCAAUUGUCAGAGGUGAAAUUCUUGGAUUUAUUGAGGACUAACUACUGCGAAAGCAUUUGCCAAGGAUGUUUUCAUUAAUCAAGAACGAAAGUUAGGGGAUCGAAGACGAUCAGAUACCGUCGUAGUCUUAACCAUAAACUAUGCCGACUAGGAAUCGGGCGAUGUUGACAAAAUGACGCGCUCGGCACCUCAUG